AUUGAACGCUGGCGGCAGGCCUAACACAUGCAAGUCGAGCGGAUGAGGAGAGCUUGCUCUCUGAUUCAGCGGCGGACGGGUGAGUAAUGCCUAGGAAUCUGCCUGAUAGUGGGGGACAACGUUUCGAAAGGAACGCUAAUACCGCAUACGUCCUACGGGAGAAAGUGGGGGAUCUUCGGACCUCGCGCUAUCAGAUGAGCCUAGGUCGGAUUAGCUAGUUGGUGGGGUAACGGCUCACCAAGGCGACGAUCCGUAACUGGUCUGAGAGGAUGAUCAGUCACACUGGAACUGAGACACGGUCCAGACUCCUACGGGAGGCAGCAGUGGGGAAUAUUGGACAAUGGGCGAAAGCCUGAUCCAGCCAUGCCGCGUGUGUGAAGGAGGCCCUCGGGUCGUAAAGCACUUUAAGCUGGGAGGAAGGGUUGUAACCUAAUACGUUGCAGCUUUGACGUUACCAGCAGAAUAAGCACCGGCUAACUCUGUGCCAGCAGCCGCGGUAAUACAGAGGGUGCAAGCGUUAAUCGGAAUUACUGGGCGUAAAGCGCGCGUAGGUGGCUUGGUAAGUUGAAUGUGAAAUCCCCGGGCUCAACCUGGGAACUGCAUUGGAAACUGGAAAACUUGAGUGCAGAAGAGGGUGGUGGAAUUCCCAUGUGUAGCGGUGAAAUGCGCAGAGAUAUGGAGGAACACCAGUGGCGAAGGCGACUUUCUGGUCUGUAACUGACGCUGAUGUGCGAAAGCGUGGGGAUCGAACAGGAUUAGAUACCCUGGUAGUCCACGCCGUAAACGAUGAGUGCUAAGUGUUAGGGGGUUUCCGCCCCUUAGUGCUGCAGCUAACGCAUUAAGCACUCCGCCUGGGGAGUACGACCGCAAGGUUGAAACUCAAAGGAAUUGACGGGGACCCGCACAAGCGGUGGAGCAUGUGGUUUAAUUCGAAGCAACGCGAAGAACCUUACCAAAUCUUGACAUCCUUUGACAACUCUAGAGAUAGAGCCUUCCCCUUCGGGGGACAAAGUGACAGGUGGUGCAUGGUUGUCGUCAGCUCGUGUCGUGAGAUGUUGGGUUAAGUCCCGCAACGAGCGCAACCCUUAAGCUUAGUUGCCAUCAUUAAGUUGGGCACUCUAAGUUGACUGCCGGUGACAAACCGGGGGAAGGUGGGGGUGACGUCAAAUCAUCAUGCCCCUUAUGAUUUGGGCUACACACGUGCUACAAUGGACAAUACAAAGGGCAGCGAAACCGCGAGGUCAAGCAAAUCCCAUAAAGUUGUUCUCAGUUCGGAUUGUAGUCUGCAACUCGACUACAUGAAGCUGGAAUCGCUAGUAAUCGUAGAUCAGCAUGCUACGGUGAAUACGUUCCCGGGUCU
RNAcentral lists this ribosomal RNA (1360 nucleotides) under uncultured bacterium. Its description in RNAcentral is "partial 16S ribosomal RNA". It matches the Rfam family "Bacterial small subunit ribosomal RNA", at positions 28 to 1381 of the family's 1533-position model. The record is from RNAcentral.